This 195-nucleotide ribosomal RNA is filed under the name uncultured Pseudomonas sp. RNAcentral's name for it is "partial 16S ribosomal RNA". It matches the Rfam family "Bacterial small subunit ribosomal RNA", at positions 338 to 525 of the family's 1533-position model. The record is from RNAcentral. Lineage: Bacteria; Pseudomonadati; Pseudomonadota; Gammaproteobacteria; Pseudomonadales; Pseudomonadaceae.
CCUACGGGAGGCAGCAGUGGGGAAUAUUGGACAAUGGGCGCAAGCCUGACCCAGCCAUGCCGCGUGUGUGAAGAAGGUCUUCAGAUUGUAAAGCACUUUAAGUUGGGAGGAAGGGCAGUAAGCGAAUACCUUGCUGUUUUGACGUUACCGACAGAAUAAGCACCGGCUAACUCCGUGCCAGCAGCCGCGGUAAUA